Molecule: small RNA, 127 nt
Filed under: Marmota monax (woodchuck)
Lineage: Eukaryota; Metazoa; Chordata; Mammalia; Rodentia; Sciuridae
Source: RNAcentral
GCUGGGCAUGGUGGUGCAUGCCUCUAAUUCCAGCCACAUGGGAGGCUGAGGCAGGAGGACAGCAAGUUCAAGAUCAGCUUCAGUAACUUAGCAAAGCUUUAAGCAACUUAAUGAGAUCCUGUCUCAA